GUGGAACCUCCCCAAAACGUUGUCCUCGCAUUUGUGCUAACUGCAGAAGGCUUUGGAGGAGGAACUGGUGGUGGCGGUGGGUAGGAAACCCCAGUGACAGUCUGUGAGAGCCCAACACCAGAGCUUCCACCAGAGUCGACACGAUCUAACCGCAGCCCACUCAACUCUCUAGUCAUAGAAACAGCACUGGAACUGCUAUCGCUGGAGGAUUUCUCUUUAUCACUGGAUUCAUCAGUGAUGCUGAUUCCGUGGGAGCUUUCAAGC
RNAcentral lists this unclassified non-coding RNA (264 nucleotides) under Hevea brasiliensis (rubber tree). Lineage: Eukaryota; Viridiplantae; Streptophyta; Magnoliopsida; Malpighiales; Euphorbiaceae. The record is from RNAcentral.